CUACGGGUCGCUCCAGUGGGGAAUAUUGCACAAUGGGCGCAAGCCUGAUGCAGCCAUGCCGCGUGUAUGAAGAAGGCCUUCGGGUUGUAAAGUACUUUCAGCGGGGAGGAAGGGAGUAAAGUUAAUACCUUUGCUCAUUGACGUUACCCGCAGAAGAAGCACCGGCUAACUCCGUGCCAGCAGCCGCGGUAAUACGGAGGGUGCAAGCGUUAAUCGGAAUUACUGGGCGUAAAGCGCACGCAGGCGGUUUGUUAAGUCAGAUGUGAAGUCCCCGGGCGCAACCUGGGAACUGCAUCUGAUACUGGCAAGCUUGAGUCUCGUAGAGGGGGGUAGAAUUCCAGGUGUAGCGGUGAAAUGCGUAGAGAUCUGGAGGAAUACCGGUGGCGAAGGCGGCCCCCUGGACGAAGACUGACGCUCAGGUGCGAAAGCGUGGGGAGCAAACAGGAUUAGAUACCCUAGUAGUC
This 464-nucleotide ribosomal RNA is filed under the name uncultured bacterium. RNAcentral describes it as "partial 16S ribosomal RNA". It matches the Rfam family "Bacterial small subunit ribosomal RNA", at positions 339 to 795 of the family's 1533-position model. The record is from RNAcentral.